UUGAAGCAACGAGAAUUGUAGCGCGUUACUCACUGGACACCCCGGUGACAUUGGCUUGCUGUAGUUCCUGCUUUGGCUGCGAUCCUUCCAAUUUCUGUUUCUGUCUACAGAAUUUCUCCUUAUGAUCAAGCCUUUUGCAGAAGUUGCACCGAACAGUUUUCUUUUCCUUGGACUAGCACUUAUUUUCAAGGUGAUUUAUCAAGGAACAAAUGCUGCACUGAGGAUAUUUCUUUUGCUUACUGGAAUUUUGAUUUCCAGUUAGAUUCCCUUCACUCCUUCUCUCUUGAUUCUGUGUUGAAGAGUUUCCUUUGAUCUGUGUUGAAAUUAAGGCUCCCUCGGUGUGUUAUCGAACAUGCAUAUUUACCUGCUGUUCACUGGAUUGAAGCUUGUUUAUUAGCUCAGCCGAGGAGAUAGAUUCAAUGUCGGAAAGCUCCUCCAAGGCUGAGAUUUUAGACUUGAAUUUAGGGGGCAAGCUGAUAAGAAUCUGCUCUACUACCCUUGAUU
RNAcentral lists this long non-coding RNA (504 nucleotides) under Carica papaya (papaya). Its description in RNAcentral is "long non-coding RNA (CPAP_LNC010118)". The record is from RNAcentral. Lineage: Eukaryota; Viridiplantae; Streptophyta; Magnoliopsida; Brassicales; Caricaceae.